Molecule: ribosomal RNA, 84 nt
Filed under: Amelanchier alnifolia
Lineage: Eukaryota; Viridiplantae; Streptophyta; Magnoliopsida; Rosales; Rosaceae
Description: partial 5.8S ribosomal RNA
Rfam family: 5.8S ribosomal RNA
About the family: 5.8S ribosomal RNA (5.8S rRNA) is a component of the large subunit of the eukaryotic ribosome. It is transcribed by RNA polymerase I as part of the 45S precursor that also contains 18S and 28S rRNA.
Source: RNAcentral
UGCAGAAUCCCGUGAACCAUCGAGUCUUUGAACGCAAGUUGCGCCCGAAGCCGUUAGGCCGAGGGCACGCCUGCCUGGGCGUCA